GUAGUGACGAAAAAUAACGAUGCAGAACUCAUUCCGAGGCUCUGCAAUCGGAAUGAGUACACUCUAAAUCAUUUAACGAGUAUCCAUUGGAGGAAAAGUCUGGUGCCAGCACCCGCGGUAAUUCCAGCUCCAAUAGCGUAUAUUAAAGUUGUUGCGGUUAAAAAGCUCGUAGUUGGAUCUGUGUUCCACGCUGUCGGUUCACUGUUUUGACAGUGUUUAACUGACAUGCUCGUGGUACGUCCUGCCGGUUGGCGGCGUGGCGCGGCUCGCGUGGUUCCACCGCGUGUGGCUGCCGUUGCGUCUGCCAGUUCCAAUCCUGUCGCGGUGCUCUUCGCCGAGUGUCGAGGCGGGCCGGCACGUUUACCUUGAACAAAUUUGAGUGCUUAAAGCGGGCUAUAACCGCCGGAAAACUGUGUGCAUGGAAUAAUAUAAUAGGACCGCGGUUCUAUUUUGUUGGUUUUCAGAGUCCGAGGUAAUGAUUAAUAGGGACAGGCGGGGGCAUUAGUAUUGCGACGUUAGAGGUGAAAUUCUUGGAUCGUCGCAAGACUAACCUAAGCGAAAGCAUUUGCCAAGGAUGCUUCCAUUAAUCAAGAACGAAAGUUAGAGGUUCGAAGGCGAUCAGAUACCGCCCUAGUUCUAACCAUAAACGAUGCCAGCCAGCGAUCCGUCGACGUUCCUCCGAUGACUCGACGGGCAGCUUCCGGGAAACUAAAGCAUUUGGGUUCCGGGGGAAGUAUGGUUGCAAAGCUGAAACUUAAAGGAAUUGACGGAAAGGCACCACCAGGAGUGGAGCCUGCGGCUUAAUUUGACUCAACACGGGAAAUCUCACCAGGCCAGAACACCAGGUGGAUUGACAGAUUGAGAGCUCUUUCUUGAUUUGGUGGGUGGUGGUGCAUGGCCG
This 901-nucleotide ribosomal RNA is filed under the name Bertkauia crosbyana. Its description in RNAcentral is "SSU rRNA". It matches the Rfam family "Eukaryotic small subunit ribosomal RNA", at positions 464 to 1290 of the family's 1831-position model. Lineage: Eukaryota; Metazoa; Arthropoda; Insecta; Psocodea; Epipsocidae. The record is from RNAcentral.